This 463-nucleotide ribosomal RNA is filed under the name uncultured bacterium. Its description in RNAcentral is "bacterial SSU rRNA". It matches the Rfam family "Bacterial small subunit ribosomal RNA", at positions 36 to 518 of the family's 1533-position model. The record is from RNAcentral.
CUGGCGGCGUGCUCAUACAUGCAAGUCGAACGAGAAAUUCACUUCGGUGGAUGGAAAGUAGGCGGACGGGUGAGUAAUGUGUAGAGAAUCUGCCCUGAAGAGGGGGACAACAGAGGGAAACUUCUGCUAAUACCCCAUAUGCGCGUAGUUGUGAUACUAUUCGUGAAAGAUUUAUCGCUUCAGGAUGAGUCUGCAUCUGAUUAGCUAGUUGGCGGUGUAAUGGACCACCAAGGCGACGAUCAGUAGCUGGUUUGAGAGGAUGAUCAGCCACAAUGGGACUGAGACACGGCCCAUACUCCUACGGGAGGCAGCAGUAGGGAAUUUUUGCGCAAUGGGCGAAAGCCUGACGCCAGCAACGCCGCGUGAUCGUAGAAGCCCUUCGGGGUGUAAAGAUCUGUCAGUAGGGACGAACAAUGACUGUACCUACAGAGGGAGCACCGGCUAACUCCGUGCCAGCCGCGGC